Molecule: small nuclear RNA, 177 nt
Organism: Pongo abelii (Sumatran orangutan)
Lineage: Eukaryota; Metazoa; Chordata; Mammalia; Primates; Hominidae
Gene: U2
Rfam family: U2 spliceosomal RNA
About the family: U2 is a small nuclear RNA (snRNA) component of the spliceosome (involved in pre-mRNA splicing).
Source: Ensembl
AUUGCUUCUCGGCCUUUUGGCAAAGAUUAAGUGUAGUAUCAAGUGUACACAAAGUCCAAAUUCAAAUGAUACAAUCUGUUUUGGAGAAUAUUGACAUUUAUUUAUUUAUGAGAUAGGGUCUGGCUCUGUCACCCAGGCUUGAGUGCAGUGGCACGAUCUUGGCUCACAGUAACCUCU